RNAcentral lists this ribosomal RNA (484 nucleotides) under uncultured bacterium. RNAcentral's name for it is "partial 16S ribosomal RNA". It matches the Rfam family "Bacterial small subunit ribosomal RNA", at positions 29 to 507 of the family's 1533-position model. The record is from RNAcentral.
AUUGAACGCUGGCGGCAUGCUUUACACAUGCAAGUCGAACGGCAGCGCGGGCUUCGGCCUGGCGGCGAGUGGCGAACGGGUGAGUAAUACAUCGGAACGUGCCCAGUAGUGGGGGAUAGCUCGGCGAAAGCCGGAUUAAUACCGCAUACGACCUGAGGGUGAAAGCGGGGGAUCUUCGGACCUCGCGCUAUUGGAGCGGCCGAUGGCAGAUUAGCUAGUUGGUGGGGUAAAGGCCUACCAAGGCGACGAUCUGUAGCUGGUCUGAGAGGACGACCAGCCACACUGGGACUGAGACACGGCCCAGACUCCUACGGGAGGCAGCAGUGGGGAACUUUGGACAAUGGGCGAAAGCCUGAUCCAGCAAUGCCGCGUGUGUGAUGAAGGCCUUCGGGUCGUAAAGCACUUUUGGCGGGAACGAAAAGGACUGUGCCAAUACCACGGUUCGAUGACGGUACCCGCAGAAUAAGCACCGGCUAACUGCGUG